GUCGAACGAAGCCUUCGGGCUUAGUGGCGCACGGGUGCGUAACGCGUGGGAAUCUACCCAGGGGUCCGGGAUAACAGUUGGAAACGACUGCUAAUACCGGAUGAUGACUUCGGUCCAAAGAUUUAUUGCCCUUGGAUGAGCCCGCGUUGGAUUAGCUAGUUGGUGAGGUAAAGGCUCACCAAGGCGACGAUCCAUAGCUGGUCUGAGAGGAUGAUCAGCCACACUGGGACUGAGACACGGCCCAGACUCCUACGGGAGGCAGCAGUGGGGAAUAUUGGACAAUGGGCGAAAGCCUGAUCCAGCAAUGCCGCGUGAGUGAUGAAGGCCUUAGGGUUGUAAAGCUCUUUUACCAGGGAUGAUAAUGACAGUACCUGGAGAAUAAGCUCCGGCUAACUCCGUGCCAGCAGCCGCGGUAAUACGGAGGGAGCUAGCGUUGUUCGGAAUUACUGGGCGUAAAGCGCGCGUAGGCGG
This 471-nucleotide ribosomal RNA is filed under the name uncultured bacterium. Its description in RNAcentral is "bacterial SSU rRNA". It matches the Rfam family "Bacterial small subunit ribosomal RNA", at positions 61 to 578 of the family's 1533-position model. The record is from RNAcentral.